UACAGAGGUCUCGAGCGUUGUUCGGAUUCAUUGGGCGUAAAGGGUGCGUAGGUGGUGCUGUAAGUCAGGUGUGAAAUUUCGGAGCUUAACUCCGAAACUGCAUUUGAUACUGCGGUGCUUGAGGACUGGAGAGGAGACUGGAAUUUACGGUGUAGCAGUGAAAUGCGUAGAGAUCGUAAGGAAGACCAGUGGCGAAGGCGAGUCCCUGGACGAUACCUGACACUGAGGCACGAAAGCCGGGGGAGCAAACAGG
Molecule: ribosomal RNA, 253 nt
Filed under: uncultured bacterium
Lineage: Bacteria
Description: partial 16S ribosomal RNA
Rfam family: Bacterial small subunit ribosomal RNA
Source: RNAcentral